GGAGGGUAUAGCUCAGUGGUAGAGCACAUGCUUAGCAUGCAUGAGGUCCUGGGUUCAAUCCCCAGUACCUCCU
Molecule: transfer RNA, 73 nt
Filed under: Vicugna pacos (alpaca)
Lineage: Eukaryota; Metazoa; Chordata; Mammalia; Artiodactyla; Camelidae
Description: tRNA-Ala (AGC) (tRNA-Ala-AGC-164-1)
Rfam family: tRNA
About the family: Transfer RNA (tRNA) molecules are approximately 80 nucleotides in length.
Source: RNAcentral